GACGAACGCUGGCGGCGUGCUUAACACAUGCAAGUCGAGCGGUAAGGCCCUUUCGGGGGUACACGAGCGGCGAACGGGUGAGUAACACGUGGGUGACCUGCCCUCAGCUCUGGGAUAAGCCUGGGAAACUGGGUCUAAUACUGGAUAUGACUCCACGGUGCAUGUCGUGGGGUGGAAAGCCCUGUGCGGCUGAGGAUGGGCCCGCGGCCUAUCAGCCUGUUGGUGGGGUGANGGCCUACCAAGGCGACGACGGGUAGCCGGCCUGAGAGGGCGACCGGCCACACUGGGACUGAGACACGGCCCAGACUCCUACGGGAGGCAGCAGUGGGGAAUCUUGCGCAAUGGGCGAAAGCCUGACGCAGCGACGCCGCGUGAGGGAUGACGGCCU
Molecule: ribosomal RNA, 388 nt
Filed under: uncultured bacterium
Lineage: Bacteria
Description: bacterial SSU rRNA
Rfam family: Bacterial small subunit ribosomal RNA
Source: RNAcentral